Non-coding RNA from Salmo salar (Atlantic salmon), 54 nucleotides. Lineage: Eukaryota; Metazoa; Chordata; Actinopteri; Salmoniformes; Salmonidae. The record is from Rfam.
CCUAAUUGUUCCUGUAAGUCGCUCUGGAUAAGAGCGUCUGCUAAAUGUAAAAUG